RNAcentral lists this ribosomal RNA (433 nucleotides) under uncultured bacterium. Its description in RNAcentral is "partial 16S ribosomal RNA". It matches the Rfam family "Bacterial small subunit ribosomal RNA", at positions 29 to 507 of the family's 1533-position model. The record is from RNAcentral.
AACGAACGCUGGCGGCAUGCCUAACACAUGCAAGUCGAACGAGACCUUCGGGUCUAGUGGCGCACGGGUGCGUAACGCGUGGGAACCUGCCCUUAGGUUCGGAAUAACUCCCCGAAAGGGGUGCUAAUACCGGAUAAUGUCUUCGGACCAAAGAUUUAUCGCCUUUGGAUGGGCCCGCGUUGGAUUAGCUAGUUGGUAGGGUAAAAGCCUACCAAGGAGACGAUCCAUAGCUGGUCUGAGAGGAGGAUCAGCCACACUGGGAAUGAGACACGGCCCAGACUCCGACGGGGGGCAGGAGUGGGGAGUAUUGGACGAGGGGGGAAAGCGUGAUCCAGCAAUGCCGGGUGAGUGAUGAAGGCCUUAGGGUUGUAAAGCUCUUUUACCCGGGAUGAUAAUGACAGUACCGGGAGAAUAAGCUCCGGCUAACUCCGUG